UCCUCCUGGUUAUUAAUAUCCCAGUCUACUUCACUUUGUUUUGUGUGGCGGGUGUUGAUGGGAAAAAGUUUAUGCUAGAACGCUAUGAAUCUUGAAGGGAAUAGGGGAUUUUUGUGUGAUGUGUUAAUGAAGAAGAAGAAAAGAAAAAGGUUUUGCGAGGAUAUUGUUAGUCUUGAAGGGAAUAUGAGACAUGAACAGAUGUGAGAUAUACCCUUGUUAUCUCUUCUGGUUGGCUGCUUUGUGUUCGGUGUUCUCUAAUAUGCUAAAGUGUUUCCAAUAUGUCACUGAUCUUUGAAUUAGCUUUCUUCUUGUCUUUUUUAUUCUGGUUUCUAACUCUAUUUAUACUGCUUGGAAUCCUCUCCACAUUGGUAGACGGAUGAAUUGAAGCUGCUUGAUUUGGAGUCUUAUGAGCUUUUAAAUCCGGAUUUAUUUCUUUUGUACUUUGUAUCAUGACUGACUAAAUGCCAUUUUUAGAUAAUUGUAAUUAUGAGUAUUGUAACACUGGAU
This is a non-coding RNA of Lupinus albus (white lupine), 507 nucleotides long. NCBI's taxonomy places the organism in Eukaryota, Viridiplantae, Streptophyta, Magnoliopsida, Fabales, Fabaceae. The record is from the annotation of a GenBank genome assembly.